Molecule: unclassified non-coding RNA, 222 nt
Filed under: Hevea brasiliensis (rubber tree)
Lineage: Eukaryota; Viridiplantae; Streptophyta; Magnoliopsida; Malpighiales; Euphorbiaceae
Source: RNAcentral
CUAAAUUUGAAAAUUGACAUUUCAAAAACACAAUUGAAGAGAGCUGAUAAAAGGAUCGUGUUAAAUGGAAAGGAAAAUAUGAUCGUACUGAAAAUGACAGAUGAACAAACAUAAUCUCACAAAGAAACAUAUAAGUUAAUAAUAGCAAGUAGCUGCCAUUAAGUACGGCUUUCUACUUCCUACUACCUCUACCUCCCUAUUAUGUUCAGUGCGAAAGAUAAG